AAUUUAAUAAUUUAUUAUUUACUUUAUAUUUCAAUGUCAAUUAAUUGGACAAAAUAAUUUUAUUUUAAAUUAUAAUUAUUCUUAUUCCCGUUAUUCUAAUAUAAUCAUCCAAACACUAUUAUUUUUUAUACCUAGAGACAAUCCAGUUUUCAUACAAACGUAAAAUUAGUUUUGCUCAUACUUAUUUUUGAAGUUAUAACUAUUUCAAGAAUAAACAAAUUUUGUGUAUUUCUGAACCAAACGAUUAUUAGAGAAU
Molecule: long non-coding RNA, 256 nt
Filed under: Ananas comosus (pineapple)
Lineage: Eukaryota; Viridiplantae; Streptophyta; Magnoliopsida; Poales; Bromeliaceae
Description: long non-coding RNA (ACOM_LNC040260)
Source: RNAcentral